This 429-nucleotide ribosomal RNA is filed under the name Chloroflexota bacterium. RNAcentral describes it as "Chloroflexi bacterium partial 16S ribosomal RNA". It matches the Rfam family "Bacterial small subunit ribosomal RNA", at positions 355 to 776 of the family's 1533-position model. Lineage: Bacteria; Bacillati; Chloroflexota. The record is from RNAcentral.
UGGGGAAUAUUGCACAAUGGGCGCAAGCCUGAUGCAGCCAUGCCGCGUGUAUGAAGAAGGCCUUCGGGUUGUAAAGUACUUUCAGCGGGGAGGAAGGGCGUAAAGUUAAUACCUUUGCUCAUUGACGUUACCCGCAGAAGAAGCACCGGCUAACUCCGUGCCAGCAGCCGCUGUAAUACGGAGGGUGCAAGCGUUAAUCGGAAUUACUGGGCGUAAAGCGCACGCAGGCGGUUUGUUAAGUCAGAUGUGAAAUCCCCGGGCGCAACCUGGGAACUGCAGCUGAUACUGGGAAGCGUGAGUCUCGUAGAGGGGGGUAGAAUUCCAGGUGUAGCGGUGAAAUGCGUAGAGAUGUGGAGGAAUACCGGUGGCGAAGGCGGCCCCCUCGACGAAGACUGACGCUCAGGUGCGAAAGAGUGGGGAGCAAACAGG